This 28-nucleotide non-coding RNA is filed under the name Mus musculus (house mouse). The record is from RNAcentral. Lineage: Eukaryota; Metazoa; Chordata; Mammalia; Rodentia; Muridae.
UAUCAAGAAAGUGAAUGGAUGGCUCAGG